This 2299-nucleotide ribosomal RNA is filed under the name Lactobacillus acidophilus. Its description in RNAcentral is "bacterial LSU rRNA". It matches the Rfam family "Bacterial large subunit ribosomal RNA", at positions 620 to 2925 of the family's 2925-position model. The record is from RNAcentral. Lineage: Bacteria; Bacillati; Bacillota; Bacilli; Lactobacillales; Lactobacillaceae.
CCGGCGAGUUACGUUAUCUUAGCGAGGUUAAGUCAGAAAAGACGGAGCCGGAGCGAAAGCGAGUCUUAAUAGGGCGAAAAGUUAGGUGACGUAGACCCGAAACCAAGUGACCUACCCAUGACCAGGCUGAAGGUGUGGUAAAACGCACUGGAGGGCCGAACCCACGUAAGUUAAAAAUUGCGGGGAUGAGUUGUGGGUAGCGGUGAAAUUCCAAACGAACUUGGAGAUAGCUGGUUCUCUCCGAAAUAGCUUUAGGGCUAGCCUCGUGGAGAGGAUAAUGGAGGUAGAGCUCUGUUUGGACUAGGGGCCCGUCAGGGGUUACUGAAUCCAGAUAAACUACGAAUUCCAGAUAUCCAUACACGGGAGUCAGACUGCGAGUGAUAAGAUCCGUAGUCGAAAGGGAAACAGCCCAGAUCACCAGUUAAGGUCCCGAAAUCUAUGCUAAGUGGAAAAGGAUGUGGAGUUGCGUAGACAACUAGGACGUUGGCUCAGAAGCAGCCAUCAUUCAAAGAGUGCGUAAUAGCUCACUAGUCGAGUGGCGCUGCGCCGAAAAUUUACCGGGGCUAAGCAUAGUACCGAAACUGUGGAUGUGUUUUAAAGAGCACGUGGUAGGAGAGCGUUCUAAGAGCGGAGAAGUUGAAUCGAGAGGAUCAAUGGAGCGCUUAGAAGUGAGAAUGCCGGUAUGAGUAGCGAAAGAUAGGUGAGAAUCCUAUCCGCCGAAAGACUAAGGUUUCCUGGGGCAGGCUCGUCCGCCCAGGGUAAGUCGGGACCUAAGGCAAGGCCGAGAGGCGUAGUCGAUGGAUAACAGGUAGAGAUUCCUGUACUGUGUCAAAUCGUUAAGAGCGAAGGAGGGACGCAGGAGGUGAAGCACGCAUCGCGAUGGAACGAUGUUCAAGCAACAAGUGCGGUUAAGAGUCAAAUGCUUCUAACCAGCAACACGAGUUGUGAAGAGGAGUGAAUUAAAAGUAGCGAAGGUGUGGUAAUCACACUGCCAAGAAAAGCUUCUAGCCAGAGAUGACAUACCCGUACCGCAAACCGACACAGGUAGUCGAGUGGAGAACACUAAGGUGAGCGAGAGAACUCUCGUUAAGGAACUCGGCAAAAUGACCCCGUAACUUCGGAAGAAGGGGUGCUAGCCAAGAGAUUGGUUAGCCGCAGUGAAUAGGCCCAAACAACUGUUUAUCAAAAACACAGGUCUCUGCAAAAUCGUAAGAUGACGUAUAGAGGCUGACACCUGCCCGGUGCUGGAAGGUUAAGAGGAGAGCUUAGCGUAAGCGAAGGUUUGAAUUGAAGCCCCAGUAAACGGCGGCCGUAACUAUAACGGUCCUAAGGUAGCGAAAUUCCUUGUCGGGUAAGUUCCGACCUGCACGAAAGGUGUAAUGAUUUGGGCACUGUCUCAACGAGAGACUCGGUGAAAUUAUAAUACCCGUGAAGAUGCGGGUUACCCGCGACAGGACGGAAAGACCCCAUGGAGCUUCACUGUAGCUUGAUAUUGAGUAUCUUUUAAACAUGUACAGGAUAGGUAGGAGCCAGAGAAGAUAGGACGCUAGUCUUAUUGGAGGCAAUGUUGGGAUACUACCCUUGUUUGAAGGAUGCUCUAACCUCGACCUGUAAGCCAGGCCAGGGACAGUGUCAGGUGGGCAGUUUGACUGGGGCGGUCGCCUCCUAAAGUGUAACGGAGGCGCUCAAAGGUUCCCUCAGAAUGGUUGGAAAUCAUUCGCAGAGUGUAAAGGUAUAAGGGAGCUUGACUGCGAGAGAGACAACUCGAGCAGGUAGGAAACUAGGACUUAGUGAUCUGGUGGUACCGUAUGGAAGGGCCAUCACUCAACGGAUAAAAGCUACCCUGGGGAUAACAGGCUUAUCUCCCCCAAGAGUUCACAUCGACGGGGAGGUUUGGCACCUCGAUGUCGGCUCGUCGCAUCCUGGGGCUGAAGUCGGUCCCAAGGGUUGGGCUGUUCGCCCAUUAAAGCGGCACGCGAGCUGGGUUCAGAACGUCGUGAGACAGUUCGGUCCCUAUCCGUCGUGGGCGUAGGAAAUUUGAGAGGAGCUGUCCUUAGUACGAGAGGACCGGGAUGGACGCACCGCUGGUGUACCAGUUGUUCCGCCAGGAGCAUCGCUGGGUAGCUAUGUGCGGAAAGGAUAAGCGCUGAAAGCAUCUAAGUGCGAAGCCCCCCUCAAGAUGAGAUUUCCUUUGCGUAAGCAGUAAGACACCUCAGAGACGAUGAGGUAGAUAGGCUGGGAGUGGAAGUCCUGUGAAGGAUGGAGCGGACCAGUACUAAUCAGUCGAGGACUUGACCAA